RNAcentral lists this ribosomal RNA (460 nucleotides) under uncultured bacterium. RNAcentral describes it as "partial 16S ribosomal RNA". It matches the Rfam family "Bacterial small subunit ribosomal RNA", at positions 338 to 795 of the family's 1533-position model. The record is from RNAcentral.
CCUACGGGAGGCAGCAGUGAGGAAUAUUGGUCAAUGGGCGCGAGCCUGAACCAGCGAAGUAGCGUGAGGGAUGACUGCCCUACGGGUUGUAAACUUCGUUUAUAAAGGAAUAAAGUGAGGCACGUAUGCCUUUUUGUAUGUACUUUAUGAGUAAAGAUCGGCUAACUCCGUGCCAGCAGCCGCGGUAAUACGGAGGAUGCGAGCGUUAUCCGGAUUUAUUGGGUUUAAAGGGAGCGUAGAUGGGUUGUUAAGUCAGGUGUGAAAGUGUGCGGCUCAACCGUAAAAUUGCAAUUGAUACUGGCAGCCUUGAGUACAGUUGAGGUAGGCGGAAUUCGUGGUGUAGCGGUGAAAUGCUUAGAUAUCACGAAGAACAUCGAUUGCGAAGGCAGCCUACUAACCUGCCACUGACAUUGAUGCGCGAAAGUGUGGGUAUCAAACAGGAUUAGAUACCCCAGUAGUC